RNAcentral lists this ribosomal RNA (478 nucleotides) under uncultured bacterium. RNAcentral's name for it is "partial 16S ribosomal RNA". It matches the Rfam family "Bacterial small subunit ribosomal RNA", at positions 28 to 523 of the family's 1533-position model. The record is from RNAcentral.
GACGAACGCUGGCGGCGUGCUUAACACAUGCAAGUCGAACGGUAAGGCCCUUCGGGGUACACGAGUGGCGAACGGGUGAGUAACACGUGGGUGAUCUGCCCUGCACUUCGGGAUAAGCCUGGGAAACUGGGUCUAAUACCGGAUAGGACCCUGGGAUGCAUGUCCUGGGGUGGAAAGCUUUUGCGGUGUGGGAUGGGCCCGCGGCCUAUCAGCUUGUUGGUGGGGUGAUGGCCUACCAAGGCGACGACGGGUAGCCGGCCUGAGAGGGUGACCGGCCGCACUGGGACUGAGAUACGGCCCAGACUCCUACGGGAGGAAGCAGUGGGGAAUAUUGCACAAUGGGCGCAAGCCUGAUGCAGCGACGCCGCGUGAGGGAUGACGGCCUUCGGGUUGUAAACCUCUUUCAGCACCGACGAAGCGCAAGUGACGGUAGGUGCAGAAGAAGGACCGGCCAACUACGUGCCAGCAGCCGCCGUAA